Beauveria bassiana ARSEF 2860 is the source of this 294-nucleotide small RNA. It matches the Rfam family "5' ureB small RNA". The record is from Rfam. Lineage: Eukaryota; Fungi; Ascomycota; Sordariomycetes; Hypocreales; Cordycipitaceae.
CUCUUGCGCCUGCUGCGGACAAAUCAGGUGAAUAUGCGUAUCAAUCGCGCCGGCCGUGAUGAUUUUGUUCUCGCCCGCAAUCACAUCCGUGCAGCUACCCACGACCAUGUUGGGCGUCACGCCGUCCAUGACGUCCGGGUUGCCCGCCUUGCCUAUCCCGACAAUCAUGCCGUGUUUGACGCCGAUAUCCGCCUUGACUAUCCCCGUGUAGUCGACAAUCAGCGCAUUCGUAAUGACGAGAUCCAGCGACUCGGCGUCGGGCCGCCCCGUGGCCUGGCCCAUGCCCUCGCGGAG